Molecule: long non-coding RNA, 337 nt
Organism: Gossypium arboreum
Lineage: Eukaryota; Viridiplantae; Streptophyta; Magnoliopsida; Malvales; Malvaceae
Exons: 2
Source: RefSeq, a predicted model, not a curated record
UGAGGUAAAUCAAUUAAUGUUUUUGGUAAGCUGCAAUGUUUGGACUGCAAAGUGCAUGAUUUCUGUGCCCUCGAUAUUUUUGGGCUUAAUGGGCCAAAAUUGGAAUGAUGGGCCAACGGGCCCAAUUCGGAAAUCCCCAACCAUAGUGGGCUUGGAGCUGUAAGGGAAUUCGGAGUGGCCACCCGUUCUGAAAGUUCGAUUUUCUUCUGGUGAAUUGGACAUCCUUUUAUUUAAGUUUGAAGUUUUGGGUUUUUAAAUGUAAUAAGGCCGCUUAAUUAUUUUUGAUGGUUUUAAUAUGUAUUACUAAGAUAGGCAUUACUUAUUUUAACUGUUGAAA